GACGAACGCUGGCGGCGUGCCUAAUACAUGCAAGUCGAGCGAAGUUUUUCUGGUGCUUGCACCGGAAAAACUUAGCGGCGAACGGGUGAGUAACACGUAAAGAACCUGCCUCAUAGACUGGGACAACUAUUGGAAACGAUAGCUAAUACCGGAUAACAGCAUUAACUGCAUGGUUGAUGUUUAAAAGUUGGUUUUGCUAACACUAUGAGAUGGCUUUGCGGUGCAUUAGCUAGUUGGUGGGGUAAAGGCCUACCAAGGCGACGAUGCAUAGCCGACCUGAGAGGGUGAUCGGCCACACUGGGACUGAGACACGGCCCAGACUCCUACGGGAGGCAGCAGUAGGGAAUCUUCCGCAAUGGGCGAAAGCCUGACGGAGCAACGCCGCGUGAGUGAAGAAGGAUUUCGGUUCGUAAAGCUCUGUUGUUAGGGAAGAAUGAUUGUGUAGUAACUAUACACAGUAGAGACGGUACCUAACCAGAAAGCCACGGCUAACUACGUGCCAGCAGCCGCGGUAAUACGUAGGUGGCAAGCGUUGUCCGGAAUUAUUGGGCGUAAAGCGCGCGCAGGUGGUUUAAUAAGUCUGAUGUGAAAGCCCACGGCUCAACCGUGGAGGGUCAUUGGAAACUGUUAAACUUGAGUGCAGGAGAGAAAAGUGGAAUUCCUAGUGUAGCGGUGAAAUGCGUAGAGAUUAGGAGGAACACCAGUGGCGAAUGCGGCUUUUUGGCCUGUAACUGACACUGAGGCGCGAAAGCGUGGGGAGCAAACAGG
RNAcentral lists this ribosomal RNA (768 nucleotides) under uncultured bacterium. RNAcentral's name for it is "bacterial SSU rRNA". It matches the Rfam family "Bacterial small subunit ribosomal RNA", at positions 28 to 776 of the family's 1533-position model. The record is from RNAcentral.